AUAAGACAAUGUAAAACAAUUUAAACGAGAAAACUAACGGCCUUAUUUAUGUAAAAAAAUGAACAAAAAACAAAUAUGUAACACAUAAACAAAGGACAACCACUGAAUAUACAGGCUCCUGACUUGGGACAGGCACAUACAUAAAUAAUGCGGCGGGGUUUAACAUGUUAGCGGGAUCCCAACCCUCCCCUAACCUGGGACAGUGGUAUAACAGUACAACAUAAGAACG
RNAcentral lists this long non-coding RNA (229 nucleotides) under Mytilus galloprovincialis (Mediterranean mussel). Lineage: Eukaryota; Metazoa; Mollusca; Bivalvia; Mytilida; Mytilidae. The record is from RNAcentral.